UAGAUGUUUCCCAUAAAUUCGGUUCAAUUGCUACGCCUCUGCUCCCCGUUGCGGAACGAGCGCGUCGGGAUUGCUCUCGCAAUCUGUCGGGAAUCUGGACUAAAUUUGGGAGCGAACGCAUCCUUCUCCCGGCAUCCGCCGUUCGUUGUUGUUCAGGACGACGAUGAUGACGGCGACGACGACGACCAGCACAAGGACAACAGUUUAAAGCGGCGCUUGGCAGGAAAAGCGAGCGGUGGAAAAGCACCUUUACGUGAAUGGGAAACUGUGCCACCGGGCCCGGAGCCGGAGUUCAGUUGGCGCUCAGCUGUGAAGCUCUUCGGUUCAAGGCAAACGGCCCCUUUCCAAAAAAAGCAGGCGGCAGAUUCGGAUUUGCUGCAGCGUGGAAAACCACAGGAUAUUUGCAUGAUUCGUGUUGUAAUGGCUUCGAGCAUUUCGAUCGCUGACUAGAGGGGUGAGUGUGGGUGCGCAGCGGGACGUCUGGCAGGAGGUCUGAGAUUGGAUUAUGGUGAAGCACUGUGUGGAUGUAUCCUUGUAGAUGGGCACGGCUCGUCAGUUGUUCUGAAUCACUUAGUAGCGGUGUAGAUUACUGUUCCGAUUGCUAAUAAAAGGCAAUACGAUUGGCACGGUUGGCGAAAAAGUUCGAAUUAGUAUGGUUUUGUCGGCAAUUAUGUAGGAUCAGUGCUAUUUUGGAAGCCUCGCAACACCCCCGAGUGGAUAACCAUUUGCGUGAUGAGGGAAUUAUGAAAGCCAUUAGGAACGAAUUAACCAUCCAGCCGGUAAGUGAGCAGCUGUAGUUAGUGGGAGUUUCGGCGAUGAUUGACGACCAGGAAGAAGUGAUAUCAGAGAGGGCUAAUUAAUUUUUACGAUAUUCGUGUUUCUUUGUCAGCAGUCAGCGGGGUUAGUGUUCUGAAGGAAGUGCGAAAAAGGAAGCCGCUGUGGUGGGAGUGAGUUUGAGGUUGAUGGAAAAUUUGGUUGGCAAAUAGAUUACAGAUAGGCAAGUUGGAGUGACAGCCGACAGCAGCGAUCGUUGACCGAUAGUUUACUGCUCCGGUGGACAUUGCUGGAUGGAAAAAGGUGAAUCCUGAGGUCACAAUUAGUUAUCGGAUUUCACGAAGGAUGUUUUGCGGUUAGUGAGUGGGAGCUGUUCGAGAGAUAACAUCGGUGUGUGCGGUGAAAAACGGUACGACAGGAUUUUGAUGUGUAUAUAACAAAAGUGGAAAAAGAUUCGGCUGAACCGCAGCUUAAGAGGAUUAAUUUGUUGUCUGUGGGCGAAAAAGUUCAGCAGAUAAUCCUCCAGCCAGCAUUGAAAGUACGUCGGCCACACAAAGGGAAGCAACUGCCACCGCGACCGGUUUCCGGCAUGGAUUUGUACCCCUAACCAGCCUCUGUACUGAUGACGAUGCUCUGGCCGCAUCCGGAACGAAUAAAACCUACAACGAGAAUGGAAGAAACGAAGAAUCAAUAAUCUCUAAUCCAGCAUCUAUCAAAUUUAUCCACAUAAUACGAUUCCUGUGUGCUUCCUCUCGGCAUUGACAAUCGGAUUAAGCAGUUUCACCGGAACGGCCUUCCACCGCCAACCCGCCAACCAGCCAGCGAGCCGAAUAAAUAGGAAACGGCCAGACAGCAACAACAAUAACAGAAAAAAAAGUCCGAACGACGGACGUCAAGGAUGGGAACUGUGGUGUGCCUUCCGGCUGGACCGGAACUGGUGUCCCAGUGCAACCGUUGUACAACCUGUUUGCCGAAGCCGUUCGGAAAGCGAGGUGUCUCUGCGUUAAGUUCGGCUGUACCAUCCAGUGACAGUGUGUAUAAAUUGGCUGAAGUUCGACAAACUAAUGAUGGAAAACUGAACCACAGAAUAGUUGAAGGUGAGUAAAAUAUUUUAAUAUCC
Aedes albopictus (Asian tiger mosquito) is the source of this 1894-nucleotide long non-coding RNA. RefSeq lists it as uncharacterized. The record is from RefSeq and is a predicted model, not a curated record. Lineage: Eukaryota; Metazoa; Arthropoda; Insecta; Diptera; Culicidae. The transcript is spliced from 4 exons.